GCAAAGCAGCAUCGCGGUGGCGGAGCGUCGUUUGCGACGCCCAACACACAAAACAAGCGGUGAGUGCUUUGGGGUGGGGUGACUGCGUACCUUUUGUAUAAUGGGUCAGCGACUUAUAUUCUGUAGCAAGGUUAACCGUAUAGGGGAGCCGGAGGGAAACCGAGUCUUAAUUGGGCGUUAAGUUGCAGGGUAUAGACCCGAAACCCGGUGAUCUAGCCAUGGGCAGGUUGAAGGUUGGGUAACACUAACUGGAGGACCGAACCGACUAAUGUUGAAAAAUUAGCGGAUGACCUGUGGCUGGGGGUGAAAGGCCAAUCAAACCGGGAGAUAGCUGGUUCUCCCCGAAAGCUAUUUAGGUAGCGCCUCGUGAAUUCAUCUCCGGGGGUAGAGCACUGUUUCGGCUAGGGGGCCAUCCCGGCUUACCAACCCGAUGCAAACUGCGAAUACCGGAGAAUGUUAUCACGGGAGACACACGGCGGGUGCUAACGUCCGUCGUGAAGAGGGAAACAACCCAGACCGCCAGCUAAGGUCCCAAAGUCAUGGUUAAGUGGGAAACGAUGUGGGAAGGCCCAGACAGCCAGGAUGUUGGCUUAGAAGCAGCCAUCAUUUAAAGAAAGCGUAAUAGCUCACUGGUCGAGUCGGCCUGCGCGGAAGAUGUAACGGGGCUAAACCAU
RNAcentral lists this ribosomal RNA (674 nucleotides) under Salmonella enterica subsp. enterica serovar Blockley. RNAcentral describes it as "partial 23S ribosomal RNA". It matches the Rfam family "Bacterial large subunit ribosomal RNA", at positions 566 to 1190 of the family's 2925-position model. Lineage: Bacteria; Pseudomonadati; Pseudomonadota; Gammaproteobacteria; Enterobacterales; Enterobacteriaceae. The record is from RNAcentral.